This 213-nucleotide ribosomal RNA is filed under the name uncultured bacterium. RNAcentral's name for it is "partial 16S ribosomal RNA". It matches the Rfam family "Bacterial small subunit ribosomal RNA", at positions 15 to 216 of the family's 1533-position model. The record is from RNAcentral.
GAUCCUGGCUCAGGAUGAACGCUAGCUACAGGCUUAACACAUGCAAGUCGAGGGGCAGCAUGGUCUUAGCUUGCUAAGGCCGAUGGCGACCGGCGCACGGGUGAGUAACACGUAUCCGACCUGCCGUCUACUCUUGGACAGCCUUCUGAAAGGAAGAUUAAUACAAGAUGGCAUCAUGAGUCCGCAUGUUCACAUGAUUAAAGUNUCGUACGA